CCUACGGGUGGCUGCAGUGGGGAAUAUUGGACAAUGGGCGAAAGCCUGAUCCAGCCAUGCCGCGUGUGUGAAGAAGGCCUUCGGGUUGUAAAGCACUUUCAGUGGGGAAGAAAGCCUUGGGGCUAAUACCCUCGAGGAAGGACAUCACCCACAGAAGAAGCACCGGCUAACUCCGUGCCAGCAGCCGCGGUAAUACGGAGGGUGCGGGCGUUAAUCGGAAUUACUGGGCGUAAAGCGCGCGUAGGCGGUCUGAUAAGCCGGUUGUGAAAGCCCCGGGCUCAACCUGGGAACGGCAUCCGGAACUGUCAGGCUAGAGUGCAGGAGAGGAAGGUAGAAUUCCCGGUGUAGCGGUGAAAUGCGUAGAGAUCGGGAGGAAUACCAGUGGCGAAGGCGGCCUUCUGGACUGACACUGACGCUGAGGUGCGAAAGCGUGGGUAGCAAACAGGAUUAGAUACCCGAGUAGUC
RNAcentral lists this ribosomal RNA (465 nucleotides) under Vreelandella stevensii. RNAcentral describes it as "partial 16S ribosomal RNA". It matches the Rfam family "Bacterial small subunit ribosomal RNA", at positions 338 to 795 of the family's 1533-position model. The record is from RNAcentral. Lineage: Bacteria; Pseudomonadati; Pseudomonadota; Gammaproteobacteria; Oceanospirillales; Halomonadaceae.